Saccostrea cuccullata (small rock oyster) is the source of this 206-nucleotide long non-coding RNA. RefSeq lists it as uncharacterized. The record is from RefSeq and is a predicted model, not a curated record. The transcript has 3 exons. Lineage: Eukaryota; Metazoa; Mollusca; Bivalvia; Ostreida; Ostreidae.
CAAAACUGAAGAUACUUAAGUUUGAUUAUUCGUGGGUUGAUGCUGUGGAGGAGGAAGAGAGACGUAUAGAGGAGGAACAAAGGCAGAAAAGAGAGAUGAAGAAAAAGUUGGAGAAAGAAAUUGCAGAAGAGAAGAAAAAUAACAAAACAAAUGACAACAGAUUUACAACACCUUUAGACUUUGGAGAUGAGGCGGUUAAAAAUUGG